GCCCUGCCAUUGUUCAGGGUCCGAAUCCCAGAGGAAGUCUCUCCUGCUGGAGCCCAGGGGGAGGAAGACAUGGAGCAGCAGUCCUCCACUGACCAACGAGAGCAAGGUCCGGGUUCCCGGGUGGAGCCCAGCAGUCUGGGCCGUACACAAUCGUAAGCUGAGGCUCCCCCAGUGACCUCUGGUGCCCAAGGUGCCAGGAGUCACCUCAGGCUGCUCGGUGACAAUUUAAAUCUUCAAACACUAAGCAGAGAAAGAAAUCCCUGGACCAGGGCAGGAAGAGAGUCCAGAAACGUUGCCGUGUGAGGUUGAAAGGCUGGUGGGAACUCGCAGGUGAGUGGGCAGGUUCUGAGGAGUUCCCCUGUCCUGUGGCUUGUGAGUGUCACAUGGAGGACGAGCCUCUGGGAUCCUCAGCCACUGAUCUCUCUUGGUGUUAACCGCAGGGUUCUCAGCAUGCAUGGCUACUGAAGGACUGGACAUCAUGGUCCUUGGACCCAGUCCCCUUUGUCCCCUGUCAGUGGGUGGUCCCAUGAUGCACUUUGCUUUUCAAACCCAAACCUAAGACUGGCUCUGCUCUUCUCUCCUGCACGCUCAGGUUAGUUCCCUACUGCUGCUGCAACAGAUUACCCAAAUUGAGUGGAUUAAAACAGCGCACAUAGUUGGGCGUGACAGUGACGCCUGUAAUCCCAGUGGCUCAGGAGGCUGAGGCAGGAGGAUGUUGAGUUCUAAGCCAGUCUCAGCAACUUAGCGAGGCCCUCAAGCAACUUAUGGAGAUCCUGUCUCUAAAUGAAAUAUUGAGAAGGGCUGGGGAUGUGGCUCAGGGUUUGGUUUGUUACCAAAACGAAACAACAACACACAAAAAAUAAACAUGGAUCUUCAACAGUUCAGUCCUGCAUGUCUCAACGUGUUGGCGGAGCUGUGCGCCCCCCAGAGGUUUGGAGGAGAAGGCGCUUCCUGGCCAUUCCCAGGGCCUGGAGGCCACAGGUCCCUGGCUGGGGCCCCUCCUCCAGCGGAGCCAGCAGUGGAGGCUGCCUUCUGCUUACAUCCGCUGACCUUGCAAAUGUCCCCUCCUCUCCUGCCCCCUCUCCCCUCAGACAGCCCAAUAAAACCUCGAGCAU
Molecule: long non-coding RNA, 1115 nt
Filed under: Marmota monax (woodchuck)
Lineage: Eukaryota; Metazoa; Chordata; Mammalia; Rodentia; Sciuridae
Source: RNAcentral